This is a small nucleolar RNA of Hylaeus volcanicus, 68 nucleotides long. Lineage: Eukaryota; Metazoa; Arthropoda; Insecta; Hymenoptera; Colletidae. The record is from RefSeq and is a predicted model, not a curated record.
UUUGCUAUGAUGUUACGUUACUGCCCCAGUCUGAUUCAAAUGUGAUUGAUUCAGUAUUCUGAGACAAA